GACCGGGCGAAACCAAAGCGCGGGGGUGUCCAGCAAUGUCGGCUAGGAACCGGGCGCGGGCGGGGUCUCCCAGACGCGCGCGCCAGCGCCCUCGCCCACGAGUGCCCACGCACGUCCACGCACGUCCACGCACGCGCGCGUGUUCCGGCUGCGGACCCAAGGCCCGGCGAAGGAGCUUCCCCCGUCCGAGUUGGUGUCGUCCUCCAGGUGACCAAGUCACGAGGACCUGGCGGGGGCGCGGCCGGGUGCCCGGGAAGUGGGAGCGGGCGCAGCCCUGCGAGAAGGGUCCUGAAGUGCGACCCUUGCGUGGUGGACACGAAGUAGGGUCAGACACUCACGAGGGAUCUGGGGGUCCCGGCCCCUGCGCAGUGAGCGGAGGAGCCGGGAAAGAAUGAAUCUCCUGUCUCCCCACCAGAGUCACCCUGGCUCCACCACAAGAGCCUGAGCAUGACUUACAUUUGAAGUCUGUAUUUGGAAAGAUCAAGAUCUUGAAGUCAAACUAUUUUGAAGUCUCGCCUGUGAAACCCCUGCUUUCCCAGGGUGGAUCCCAGCCGUAUUUAUUCAUUUGUUUCUCUGAGAGUCUCACAGUCCGCCCUGCCCCAGGCGAAUCCACCUUUUGUUAGCACUCCUGUGCUAGUGACUCAUCUACCUUUCCCAGUUCCCAUCAAAAACAUCGUCAUCAGAAUUCGUACCAGUUGAAUCCCAGUCUGAAACUGGUUGGGAGAGAAAGAAACGUUGACAGUUUGAACAGCUGGGCCUUUAUUAAUGUACAACUCACCCGUUUCAAGGGAAACAGCAGAACAGAGGUCAGGUGCCGGUGAGGGGGGCAACCAAAGCAUAGGAGUCCACCCUGAGCCUGCUGCUCUGGGAUACCCACGUGGGGCAGGUUGUGGCUUUGCCUCUGAGAUGGGCCCCUCUAAGCCGGCCAUCUCUGAAAGGACGGGGAGCUCACAAAGAUGAGGGUAAGUCAAGGGCAACACAGAGGCCACUCCUACUUCCUAGUGGUAGCAGAGUUUGCUGAGCUUAGAAGCGUUCGCUGGGACCCCACUUUGGGGGCAUACCUGCUGUUCUUGCCCUGACCACCUUCUGUCUCCCUGUCUCCCUGGGUGCUUUUGGGGAUUCCCCUGUGGACAGACAGCCGGUUCCUCGCUGUGCCCCAGGUGCCCACGUUUUACAAGUGGGAGGUAACAGCUGUGGAAACAAGGCAGGAACAAGGCAGGGCUGUAGGUUCCCACCGGCUCUGCCAGGGAGCCAGCUGCCCUGUGUUGGUAGGAGGGAGUGAUGUCUGCUCCCACCUCCACGUCUGCUACAGAGCAGGGGCUGGAAAGUACUUGACACCUACACACUUAGGAAAUAAGAAAACAAGACUUCAAAAUUAAAGUUGUCAAGUCAAACAAUUAUCACAGGAAAAUUAAUGGCUGCAUAGAAGAUUUAUCAAUAAACAUGGCCCUCACAGAAAGUGGAAGCAACUGCAGUACCCAGGCUCCUCCCACAGCAAGGAGCACUGUAGUUACCAGGGAGUACUCACAGGACAGCAUGUGGGUGCAAAUGCCAUGCGGGUUCCUGGGCCCUUCCCCUGGAGACUCCAGGGGUUCGGAUAGAUGCCUGUAGAACUGAAGGGCAUAGACUUCACAUUAGCCAUCCUGGGGGGUGGGACAGGCAGUUUAAAACUCACCUCUGCAAUUUUCUGUAUCUUUCUGAAUGUAUUCUUGGGGUACUGGGGAUUGAACCCAGGGGCACUCUACCACAGAGCCUCAUCCCCAGCCCUUUUUACUUUUUAUUUUGAGACAGAGUUUUCUAAGUUGCUUAGGGUCUCACUAGUUGCUGAAGCUGGCCUCAAACUUGUGAUCCUCCUUCCUCAGGCUCCUGAGGAUUACAGGAGUGUGCCAUCAUGCCCAGCAAGGAAAAAAAAAAAAGACCUUUUUAAAAAAAAAAAAAACAACAACAAACUUUUGAGCCAGGUGCAUUGGUGCAUGCCUGUAAUCCCAGCAGCUUGGGAGACUGAGGCAGAAGGAUCUCAAUUCAAUGUCAGCCUCAUCAAUUUAGUGAGACCUUGUCUCAAAAUAAAAAAUAAAAAGGCCUUGAGAUGUGGCUCAGUGGUUAAGCACCCCUGGGGCGCUUCCUCAGUACCAAAAAAAAAAAAAUUCUUUUAGGAAAAAAAGUUGUUUUAUUUUAGAAUGUUUUGCAUUUUGAGAAGUCAGUGAUGUUGUGGGAACAUGCUCGAUGUAGUGAAAGAAGUUCAUAAAAUUAGCACUACGGUGUGAUUAAAGUAUUUUUAAAUUCUAUACAUAGAAAAUUAUGAAUGAACACCUAGGCUUUGUUCUUUCAGGCCCUGGGAAGCUCCUUCCCCAUGUCCUGUAAUAAGGGGUGGAGGGAGAUCCCGCAGGGGCACCACAUCCCAGCUCGGGAUGUGUCCUGGCUGGAGCCUAGGGUGCCACACCCACAGGUACUAGGACUUGCUGGGACUCGUGCUGUGCCUUCUCACUCAUGCCCUGGACCCGGUGCUUGACCUGGAAGCUUCUAUGUCCAUCUGCCAAAGGGUCAGCAUGGCACCUCCCUCGCAGAAGGUUUCUAGGUUCCGUGAAGGCGUGCCUGAAGUCCUGGGCACACAGUGGGCCUUUCCGAGUGCAGUGGGCAUUGUCUGUCUUCCUUUCCCACACCUGGAGUGGACUAGAUGGUGUUCGCCAAAAUGUUACAUCCACGCAGGAUCCGCGAGUGUGACCUCGCUUUGGAAGUGAAGUUGGUGAGAGGUUGACUGGUGCUGGCACUAGCAAGUCAACUUGCACUGUUCAUCCUCAAGGACCUGACUGAAGAGAAGCGGGAGGAAGGGCACCGCUGAGUGGCAGCCACCCGCCCGCCUCGGUGGUCAUCUUCCCUUCGUGUUUAGAGGAACAGGAACGCCCAGAAUGCCAGGUGACCUGGAGACAGCAUCGCAGCCACAGUAAGAGAAUUGAUUCCUGCAAGGAUCAAUGACCAUGCUGGUGCCACCAGCUGUGGUAAAAAUGGGUCCCCAGGAGCCCCAUCCCAGCCUCUGCACCUGCAGUCUGGGAGAGACAGAGUCUGGGGACAGCCCUCCACCCCCACCUGUGGCUUGCUGCCCGUCAGGCUCUUUCUUCUCCAUCCAUCUGUCUCCUGAGCUGUUAGCUGUAUUUGGUGGCAGUGGCAGACUUUUCAUGGGCACAGAAAUAAGGUCUUUGCAGAUGUAAUUAGUUAAGAGGAGAUCCUGCUGGACCAGGGGGGGGCCCUGAGUCCAAUGGUGGUGUUCUAAUAAGAGGAGAGGACACAAAGAAAGAAUGGCUGGUGAGGUUGGACAGAGGGAGAAGGCCCAGUGCAGACAGCGGAGACUGGAGCAUGAUUGCGGCAGCCAAAGCCAAGGAGCCUGGAGCCCUCAGGGGGCACGCCCCAGGCAGCCUGUCAGCUGGACCCUGGACUUCAGGCUUCCAGAACGUGAGAAGGAGUUCCUGCUGUGUUGAGCCAGCAGGUCUGUGGUGGUUGUCACAGCAGCCCCAGAAAUGGUACUUCCUCCCUGUUCGUCACAUAUAUGUUCCCGAGCAUGGGAGUUAAGCUGUGCUUUUAAGGAUGUCAUAUGCACACCUGGACUGGCAUGUUUUCAUCAAGUUGAGCCUGGAGUUGAAAGACCAAGGCUUAGAAACCACAGGGCCCCUGAUCAUGGAGUGUUGACACUCUAGAGGACAACAGGACAACCUCAGGUCAGGAAGUGGGUCACUGUGAUGUUGCAGGGAGACCAGAUGUUGGAGUUUAUUAUUUGUGGGACAGUGUGCACCCUUCUGUGCUUGCUGAGACCCAGCAGGCAGUUUUUUUACACACUCAUCAGUGAGGCAGUGUUCUGGUUGCAGGAAACAAACAAAAAUCCCUGCCUGUGGGAGCUGAUAGCAAAAUGUAGUGUCUGUGAAUUUGUAAAAUUAUUGCCUUAAUCAAA
This is a long non-coding RNA of Marmota monax (woodchuck), 3940 nucleotides long. RefSeq lists it as uncharacterized. The record is from RefSeq and is a predicted model, not a curated record. NCBI's taxonomy places the organism in Eukaryota, Metazoa, Chordata, Mammalia, Rodentia, Sciuridae. The transcript is spliced from 2 exons.